Molecule: ribosomal RNA, 488 nt
Filed under: uncultured bacterium
Lineage: Bacteria
Description: bacterial SSU rRNA
Rfam family: Bacterial small subunit ribosomal RNA
Source: RNAcentral
GUGAUUCAGUGGCGAACGGGUGCGUAACACGUGGGCAAUCUACCGAGAAGUGGGGGAUAGCUCGCCGAAAGGCGAAUUAAUACCGCAUGUGAUCAGAGGCGACAUCGCUUCGAAAUCAAAGGUGGCGCAAGCUACCGCUUUUUGAGGAGCCCGCGGCCUAUCAGCUUGUUGGUGAGGUAACGGCUCACCAAGGCUUUGACGGGUAGCUGGUCUGAGAGGACGACCAGUCACACUGGGACUGAGACGCGGCCCAGACACCUACGGGUGGCAGCAGUCGAGAAUUUUUCUCAAUGGGGGAAACCCUGAAGGAGCGACGCCGCGUGGAGGAUGAAGGUCUUCGGGUUGUAAACUCCUGUCAUUUGGGAACAAGGCUGUGCGGUUAACUGCCGUGCAGUUGAUAGUACCAGAAGAGGAAGAGACGGCUAACUCUGUGCCAGCAGCCGCGGUAAUACAGAGGUCUCAAGCGUUGUUCGGAUUCAUUGGGCGUA